CCCGUACUUGGUGUUACUGCGAAGGGGGGACGGAGAAGGCUAUGUUGGCCGGGCGACGGUUGUCCCGGUUUAAGCGUGUAGGUGUGUGUUCCAGGUAAAUCCGGUUCACUUUAACACUGAGGCGUGACGACGAGGCACUACGGUGCUGAAGCAACAAAUGCCCUGCUUCCAGGAAAAGCCUCUAAGCAUCAGGUAACAUCAAAUCGUACCCCAAACCGACACAGGUGGUCAGGUAGAGAAUACCAAGGCGCUUGAGAGAACUCGGGUGAAGGAACUAGGCAAAAUGGUGCCGUAACUUCGGGAGAAGGCACGCUGACACGUAGGUGA
RNAcentral lists this ribosomal RNA (327 nucleotides) under Salmonella enterica. RNAcentral's name for it is "partial 23S ribosomal RNA". It matches the Rfam family "Bacterial large subunit ribosomal RNA", at positions 1438 to 1765 of the family's 2925-position model. The record is from RNAcentral. Lineage: Bacteria; Pseudomonadati; Pseudomonadota; Gammaproteobacteria; Enterobacterales; Enterobacteriaceae. RNAcentral also lists the same sequence under 1 other name.